RNAcentral lists this ribosomal RNA (464 nucleotides) under uncultured bacterium. RNAcentral's name for it is "bacterial SSU rRNA". It matches the Rfam family "Bacterial small subunit ribosomal RNA", at positions 917 to 1382 of the family's 1533-position model. The record is from RNAcentral.
GGGCCCGCACAAGCGGCGGAGCAUGUUGCUUAAUUCGACGCAACGCGAAGAACCUUACCAAGGCUUGACAUGGCCUCAAAAGCCGCAGAGAUGCGGUGUCCGCAAGGGGGGGUCACAGGUGGUGCAUGGCUGUCGUCAGCUCGUGUCGUGAGAUGUUGGGUUAAGUCCCGCAACGAGCGCAACCCUCGUCCUAUGUUGCCAGCGGGUAAUGCCGGGGACUCAUGGGAGACUGCCGGGGUCAACUCGGAGGAAGGUGGGGAUGACGUCAAGUCAUCAUGCCCCUUAUGCCUUGGGCUGCAAACAUGCUACAAUGGCCGGUACAAAGGGCUGCGAUGCCGUGAGGCGGAGCGAAUCCCGGAAAGCCGGUCUCAGUUCGGAUCGGGGUCUGCAACUCGACCCCGUGAAGUCGGAGUCGCUAGUAAUCGCGAAUCAGCAACGUCGCGGUGAAUACGUUCCCGGGCCUU